Sceloporus undulatus (fence lizard) is the source of this 857-nucleotide long non-coding RNA. RefSeq lists it as uncharacterized. The record is from RefSeq and is a predicted model, not a curated record. The transcript is spliced from 3 exons. Lineage: Eukaryota; Metazoa; Chordata; Lepidosauria; Squamata; Phrynosomatidae.
AUCCAUGCUUGGAAGAGAUGCUUUGGGAAAGACUAAGUCCAGAUCCAACCCUUCAACUGCUAUCCUGCACCCACUUUCCUGGGAGUAAAGGCCUAACCAACUCUAUUACUCCAGAAGACUCCCUCUGAUUUCAGAAGUGCACUCCAAGUCUGCUUUGAGGAGGUGGCUAUGUAAUUUCCCAAAAGGAAUGGAAUCUCCUGGAUCCUGGCCAGAGGACUUCUUACAAGGAAGUCAGGAUGGAGGAUGAUGGGAAGGAGGCCUCUCUGGAUGACACGUAUUCUGUGGGACAUCAUUCACAGACUGCUGAGCCAUGAAACUCACAGCCUACACUGUAUGUGAGUAGACCAAGAGACAUGACAGGGUUCAGUUGACAGUGGGAAUGUUCAGUUGGUUGAGAGUUAUGGUUGAAGCACCAGUAUCAUUUAUUUCUCUGUGUGUGUGUGUGUGUGGACUACAUUUGGAGCUGUGAAGCAGUUGAUUAGAAGUCAGAGAGGAAUAUAUUUUGCUAUAUCAUACUGUAUACAUUCUUCCCUCCACAUUUACAGUUUUGAUUAUUCACAGAUUUUAUUACUAUUUUCUCUCUAGAAAUAUCUAGGUUCAAACAGUGGAUGCUUGAAUCCGUGUAUAAAAAAUCAGUGUAUAAGAAGGGCCGACUGUAUUGGAUUAUUUGUCCUUUGCGUGUGAAAGAAAGUGCUGGUCUUGGGCCAACAUUACCUCUUUAUCUGACUAGGCAUUCUUUGCCUGGAGACAGAGGAAAAGGAUUCACACCCUUUCUGCAAUCAGUCCAGCCAGUCUUUUCUUCUCCUACCCAUGCCACAGCUGCGGUGGUUGCAAACCAAUUCCAAGCAUUCUUGGAU